This 206-nucleotide ribosomal RNA is filed under the name uncultured bacterium. RNAcentral's name for it is "partial 16S ribosomal RNA". It matches the Rfam family "Bacterial small subunit ribosomal RNA", at positions 1290 to 1500 of the family's 1533-position model. The record is from RNAcentral.
AGUUCGGACUGGAGUCUGCAACCCGACUCCACGAAGUUGGAUUCGCUAGUAAUCGCGCAUCAGCCAUGGCGCGGUGAAUACGUUCCCGGGCCUUGUACACACCGCCCGUCAAGCCAUGGGGAGCCCGGGGGCGCCUGAAGUCCGGGACCGCGAGGACCGGCCUAGGGCGAAACGUGGUAACUGGGGCUAAGUCGUAACAAGGUAGC